Rhea pennata is the source of this 2446-nucleotide RNA transcript. It is a transcript of the gene named chromosome 2 C7orf57 homolog, with no coding region annotated. The transcript has 8 exons. The record is from RefSeq and is a predicted model, not a curated record. NCBI's taxonomy places the organism in Eukaryota, Metazoa, Chordata, Aves, Rheiformes, Rheidae.
CGGGGCGGCCGCAGCCCCGCCGGCUCUCGCUGCCGUCUCUCCGCCAGCCCGGUCCCCGGGAUGAGGAGCGCCGUCAGGGAGCUGCCCGCACCCCGCAGCCGCCGCUACGCUGCUUGCGAAUGGUACUACCACAUGCCCCUGAAACAACCAGAGAAGUCGGUGAACUCAGAAAUCCCACUUCCUUCAGCAUCUCAGAUUCCAGGUCUGAGUGACCUUGCAGAACCUCACAAUGAGAAGAUGUUUGGAGGCCACAGGAAGUGGAUCAAAGAUACUGACUCAGAAUAUGUAAAGCUGGCAAAGCAAGGAGGCCAACCUGACUUGCUGAAGCACUACACUCCUGUUACAAGGAAUUCAUCUCCAGUAGCGUAUGCUGCACCUGACUGGUACUCACACCACUCAAAUCCCCCAACAACCAAUGAGCCGCAGAACUAUGUUUCUACUAUACCGGAUUAUAUGAUUCAUGAAGAGUUUAAGGCUGGUGAUCAUCAUAGUAAUAACUAUGAGACAAGAAGAGCACCAUUUGAUUUCGAUGUGAAAAGUGUUUGGCAAAGGGAUGCUGAGGACAAAGAGAACACAGGGAAAAAAAAGGUAAAGCUUCCAGCUAUAAACCCCAAAUAUCAAAGCAGAAUCCAGAAUGUUUCUACAAACAAGGAAUUCAGUGGGAAAAAUAAGCUUACUUUUCCUCCUAUGCCUGCUCAGAGAAACAGUGAAGCAGUAAACUUCAGCAAAUUAAUUAGCAACGGUUAUGGCACUGAUUGGAUUCAGCAGCGCACUGAAAGGGAAAAAAGGGUUCAACAAACAUCAGAAAACAGUGAGCAGUCCAAAGAACCUCUUUCUCUAGGUGAGUAUCAGAGGAAAGCAGGAGAGCAGAAAGCUAAAGUGAUGAACCGAGAUCUCACUCUGGACCUGAAACAGGGUGCCUAAUCUGAGGAAACUACUCUUCAAAAUUAGCUUGAGUAUCCAAUCUCUGAUCAUGCAAAAGAUGCUGCCUUAGGAGAAAUGAAGACUUAUAGAUUCAGAGACAUCACAGCCUGAAACAGCAGCUGCAAGCAACAAGUGAAAGCCACAGCUUCAGGAAUGUAAUAAAUGUCUUAAAAGAAUAUUGGGAAAAGUAAAGCAUUAUAUGCUUUAUCAUAAAGUCCACUAUUUAUAUGCUAGAUUACAUCUAUCUGAUAAGAUUACAUUUCUAGUUAAAUUGCUCCUUUGUUGAGUAUUCAGUUAUUUUAUAUCCCAGAUGAACUUUAUUGUGCUUAAUUACAGCAAGCUGUAAAGCACAGGCAACAGCUGUCAGUGUACUCUUAGACCUUUUCUUAAUCUAGUUUCAAGAAGCAAAACUGAAAUUUUCUUCUACACAAUACUAGUGCUCUUCUGCUGCUGCCAAAUAAGAUUACCCUGUUGCUGCUGAUCUUGACUAUACAUGAGUACCGUACCAAUGUAGUUAGAGACUUGCUGGUUUGGUUAUGAUUAUACUCAUAUAUCAUAAAGGAAGGUAAAGUGGAACUGUAUGGUAUGGGACUAAAUGUCAGUAGAAAUGAUUGAACUAAUAUGGCUACUUUGGGUAAAAAUGUCAAUGCUUCCCUGGAAAGAUGGUAUCUUAGCCGCCAAAGCAGAUUUAGACCAGACUAAGACUCAGCUUUCUUACAUGAUUUUGUCACUACAUCUCCUGCAUAAGGACUGGUUGUAGUAUACAGAAUUAAAUUAAGACCUUAGAGGCAUUCCCUGUUACGGUCCUGUUUUAUAGAAGAUGAAUCAUUAGGGUAAGUGAGACUGACUAAGCUAUGCGUGGUGUCUGCACUUUCACAGCCUUUAAAUAAUAAUUUUAAAUUUUGACUUGCAAAACCUAAAUGUUAGUUUUCUUUGUUUAUUCAUUCCAUCAAAAAAUAUACUUUGAAAUAGCAAUGUAUAUUAAUUAUAUUACUAUUCUGAAAGUUAGAUACUGACAUUUUAAUGUUUACUCUUUUAUCUAUUUGAAUGAGGAGUUAUCCCUGAAAUCUUGUGCAAGUAGAUGUAUUUUAUUAUAAAGCCUGUUAGAAAGUGGCUGAAUUUUAAUAGGAUUUUUUUGCUUAUACUGUAACAAACAAAACUUUUAAUAAACAAAAUUGGUAAUUGGAUUAUUUUCCUUUUCAGAGUGUGCACUCAAUACAUUUCACACCUUUGAAUCCAGAACUGAAGAUUUUAAUGCAUUACUGAUUCUGCAUCUUCACAAACAGAAUGUUUAGAAAGUUUGGUUAAGCAAUACUUUUCAUUAAAACUUUGCUAUGAAAUUUGCUUGGAAAUACAUAAACCUAUUGCUAAUCCUAAGGCCCCAAAAUUUCAAUGGAAGCUGGUGGGAGUUUUACUACUGAUUUCAGAAUAGCCAGCAGCUGAGUCUUUGCCAUUCAUUUUAACCAAUAAUUCAGGCUUCCAAGUUGUAUUUACGAAAAUAAAGAACUAAAAUAUAUGAUAA